This 174-nucleotide non-coding RNA is filed under the name uncultured Planktomarina sp. RNAcentral's name for it is "Ruegeria cis52 sRNA". It matches the Rfam family "Ruegeria cis52 sRNA". From Rfam's summary of the family: Cis-encoded. Targets oligo/dipeptide ABC transporter. The record is from RNAcentral. Lineage: Bacteria; Pseudomonadati; Pseudomonadota; Alphaproteobacteria; Rhodobacterales; Paracoccaceae.
GCAGCGCAUGUUUCAAAACUAUAUUUGCAAAGCUAACGCCCUUAAGCCGUGCGGUGCGGAUAUACUGCGCAGUCAUGACUUCUGCCAUGGACGCACGGGUCAUCCGGGCUAUGUACCCCAUGCCAUACAGGGCAAUGGUGAGCACAGGCAGAAGAAAAUUCUCGAGCGUCGCGU